UACGGGGGGGGCAAGCGUUGUUCGGAAUUACUGGGCGUAAAGGGCUCGUAGGCGGCCCACUAAGUCGGAUGUGAAAUCCCCAGGCUUAACCUGGGAACUGCAUUCGAUACUGGAUGGCUUGAAUCCGGGAGAGGGAUGCAGAAUUCCAGGUGUAGCGGUGAAAUGCGUAGAUAUCUGGAGGAAUGCCGGGUGCGAAGGCGGCAUCCUGGACCGGAAUUGACGCUGAGUGAGCGAAAGCUAGGGGAGCAAACGGG
This 254-nucleotide ribosomal RNA is filed under the name uncultured bacterium. Its description in RNAcentral is "partial 16S ribosomal RNA". It matches the Rfam family "Bacterial small subunit ribosomal RNA", at positions 524 to 776 of the family's 1533-position model. The record is from RNAcentral.